Non-coding RNA from Paramuricea clavata, 896 nucleotides. The record is from the annotation of a GenBank genome assembly. NCBI's taxonomy places the organism in Eukaryota, Metazoa, Cnidaria, Anthozoa, Malacalcyonacea, Plexauridae.
GUAGAGACAACAAUGUUAUCCCUAAUGGACUAAGGAUACGACUGUCAAGAGAUGAAUAUCAAACGCGUAAUCUUACAAGAAUGAAAGCAAGGCUUGAAACGGCACGAGUGCAGUCACGUAUAAAAGAAGUAAGACGAAAAUUAUAUUCAGUAGAUCAUCAACGAAGGGAUAUUCUGACGGAAUUGAAAACAACUCUUAUACAAAAGGAUUUCUCUUGGCUUGAACAGGUAAUGAAAAAUUCAGAACAUAAAGAGAAUAAGAAAGUGAAGGAGAGACAGAUUAAGAAAUAUAAAGCAUUAAUUGAUGAGAAAAGAAAGCUUGAAGAAAAGUUAAAUGAAAGAUUGAAAGAGCAAGAAGAAAUGAGAAAGGAAAAGAUUAAAAACGAAGUAAUUGAUCUUACUGAUGAUGAUGUGAAGAAAUAUCUAGCAUUGGGACCAGAUUUUUCGGAAGCUCCCACACGAGUACCAUAUGAGAAAAUUAUUUCAGAGACAGAGAAAAUGUGUUCGGUGAUUGACAAGGAAGGGGAAUUGAAAGAAAUUGAUAAAGAAAUCGUUGAACGUGAAUUGAGUGACGUACGUGAAAGUAUGAGAAUGAUUUUAGAAAAAGCAAGACACAGGAAGUGUCAAACUAACUUGACAAAGGAUGAAAUGAACGGAAAGAAAAAAGCUAUGAUGGACGAGAACAGAGUAUUUCUACCAGCGGACAAAGGACGUAUUAUGGUAGCAAUGGAUAAAUGGGAAAGUGAGCGAAAGGAACAAAGCUAUGAAUAUAAAAUGAAGAAUGUACUUAUUGACUUGAAAGCAAAGCCAUCCAUAAGGGGAGGAAAAGAUUGGGACUUGACUCAAAAAGUUUGCCGAGAAGGAUCGAAGAUCGUAGAAAGAAUUGUAAGAAAAAAU